UAUUUUUUAUUUAGCUUUUUCUUCUCUCUCUCUCUUUUUAUGGAAAUUGAGUUUUUAUUUUGGAGAAUGAUGGGUAGGGAGGAAGAGAUGAAUGAGGUGCAGUGGUGGCAUUUGGAGAUGUUUUCAACCCCCGUUUUGAUACAAAUUGCCAUGUAUUUGCAGAAUAAACAUGCAGCAACACGUUCACAGUCCUGCUGAUAUUGAUCAAGCAUUCAGGGUCUCAAGAGAGGGUGAAAAUGAACGUAACAGUGCGUUUUCUAUUUAGAUAAGUCGUUGCUAUCUGUAAGGCUAGUCAAAUUUACAAUUAAAACUUCUAUGAUCCCUGUUCUGUCUGCAUUUAUUUCUUUAGAAUAAUUGAAUUCUCUCAUAAAACUGUUGGAUCAUGUACUUUUAGGUUGAUCUUGGAGACAUGGCUGAGCUAUUAUAUGCAAAAAAAAGAUGUUGAUAAGUUACCACCCGGGAAGCUAAGGUCUGGUCUGCUUUUGAAAGUUUUCUUCAGGCUCACCUGGUUGCUCCAAUGAGCCUGAAUUUGAAGAUCAUGCUUUUUACCCUUCAAGAUCUGCCAGCAUGAAUUUGAAGUUGCAUUUUGUAUGAUAGCACGUGAAGAGACAUUGCCGUUUAUAAUUUGUAUCAUUCUCGUCCUUUUACAGCAGAGUUCUAUUGCAAUCAACUAGAGCAUGGUUGAUGAUAUUGUUUUCUUCCCUAAUGCAAGGUUAAUACAGCUCAAUCUAAUUAUUGCAGCACGAAAGGAGUUGGUGGAACUGCUCCAAAUCUUUCAGAUGCCAAGACACUUGAUGAUGGUGCUGUUGUUCCCCUUGGGAAGCCCGAAGAGCAACAAGGCUCAAAGGUAGAACAAACAAAGUAUGACUCUGUGCAUUCGAAGAACACACUGACUCUGCACAUGUCAACUCAUAUGACUGCUAAUAACCUCUAUGAUAUUGUAUCACCGUGCGCUAUUUUCAUAAUUUAUUGUUGAAAUGUGAUUUGAAUCCUUUUUGCA
This is a long non-coding RNA of Populus nigra (black poplar), 1000 nucleotides long. RefSeq lists it as uncharacterized. The record is from RefSeq and is a predicted model, not a curated record. The transcript has 2 exons. Lineage: Eukaryota; Viridiplantae; Streptophyta; Magnoliopsida; Malpighiales; Salicaceae.